GGGGGGGCAGACAUGUGAAAAAUUUUAGAGAAACCUAAAAUUCAGAAAGCGAGGGCCAGAAGCGACCAAUAUUACCUAGGGCCGUUUUGUGCAUUUUCUAAAGUAAAAUUGAAGGAUGUCAUGCAAUUCUCUUUUUGAUGAAGGUUUCAUAUUUCAGCUCUUACCCAAACCCCUCCCCCUAUACAUACGGCCAUGAAAAAGAUCACUUCUUAUUAUUGUUCUCUCUUUUCUUUCACAAACAGGUUGAGUAUGAAGAACAAGAAAAACAGUAGAGGUCUACCUAUAUGGUACAAGAUGAUGAUCAUAAGUGCAUGCAUCAUUUUGCAGAUUCUCAUCCAGGAUGAUGCAGUUUUACAAUUUCCAUGGAGGUGAUUGAUGAUGAUAAAUAAUUGGUGAAGUAGGCCUAAUAGAACAGCGACUAGACCACAAAGAGAAAUACAACCUACAGCAGUUGUAUGAGACUGGUGUAACAGAUGUUUUCAUUCAAGAAAUCCAACAAUUCAACAUUGAAGAGUCUGACUUAGGAACCAUUUGAUGAAGAUGGAAAAGGUUUUUUUUUCCAAGUCCAAUUUAAAAAAAAUAUAUAUAUUAUCACAACCCCAAAUUCAUGACGUAUAAAAUAUCUUGUUGAUUUUCAUUAAAACUGGUUGCAAAAGGAGAAGCUAUAAACAUACAAAUAGGAGCGGCGGAGUGAAGUUGAAAGUGGGGGGGGGGGGGCAUAGGGAAAAUGCUGUAUUACGUGAAAUUUUUAAGAAGUUGCGAGCGAGCAAAAUUUUGACAUUUUAAAAAAGAAAAUCUAAAAUAUUCAGAAUGAUAUAUUUCACCCUUUUCUUUCCUUUUCUCUUUUUUUUUCUUGGUCGUGAUUUUUUUUUUUUUGGGGGGGGGGCAAGAGUCCUUCAAGCCCCCCUCCAUCUGUACGAAACUGCUUAUAUACCCCCACUCAUGAAUUAUUAAACUUAAUGCGCAAAGGAUUUCCUUCAUAAGUAUAUUAUCGAAAUGAGAAUAUUGUUUUCUUGUUUCAAAGGGCAAUCAUCAUGGUGACCAUAAAACGGGUCCUUCUCAUGUGAAAGGGGCAAAGAACAAGUUCUUUAGGAGCACUUUUCUUGGGUAAAAGGGGGCAGUGAUUCGAGAAAGGGCACUUACAAGAAGGCGAGGGGGCACUCUUUAACACAUGAAACAGGCCCUCAGAUGAAAGGGCACAGAACACGUUCCGGGGGGGGGGGCAUUUUUGGGUUAAAAAAUUGCAUACAAGGAAGAGCACUUGGUAACACCUAAAACAGGUUCUCGUCAGGUGAAAGGGACACAGUACACGUUCGUGAGGGGGCAUUUUUCUUGCAUAAAAAGGCACUUUUCAGUGCUUCAAGAAGUAGGGGGAACUGUGCCCCCCCCCCCUCCCCAGGAUCGCUGCCCCAGCAUACAAAAAACAAUUCUUUUGGUUCAAAGUAUUAACAUACGCUUAAGAAAAAGGUAAAGCUUAAUCCUCUAAUAAUGUGAUAUUUUUUAUGGCUAAUUAAUAAAAUUCACCACUAACCAGAGAAUUCCUUUAUGUCUUUCAUUUGUGUUCAUAUAGUAUUUGUACAGAGCUAAAAUUAAAGGGAUUUGGAAUUGGCAAAAUUCAAAAUGAGAUGAAGAUCGAGAGAGGGAAAGAGUGAUGAGAAGUGGGUUGAAAAGAGAUGAGAAAGAAAUGGAGGGGCACAUAUGAAGAGAUAAUUUAGAGGGGGUGGUAAGAGAGCUAGAAUGUGGGAAGUAGGAACAAAAGGGGUGGAAGAGAAAUAAGACGAGAUUUAUGGAAACCAGGAGACAGAUAACAAGUGGGAAAAGAAGAAGGAAAUAUAUGAAGAGUUUAGUUGCAAAAGGGGUUAGGACCAUUCCGAGAAAAAACAUGUUUUUAUUCUCACUUAUUGCAAUAUUCUCAUGAGAAACUAAAUUGUCAUGAUGAACUACUCUAUCAUGUUAACAUAAAAUUGGGUAUAAAAGAAAUAUACCUGCCUUCAAUUUUUUUCUAUAUACUU
Long non-coding RNA from Lytechinus pictus (painted urchin), 2012 nucleotides. RefSeq lists it as uncharacterized. The transcript has 3 exons. The record is from RefSeq and is a predicted model, not a curated record. NCBI's taxonomy places the organism in Eukaryota, Metazoa, Echinodermata, Echinoidea, Temnopleuroida, Toxopneustidae.